Molecule: long non-coding RNA, 318 nt
Organism: Manis pentadactyla (Chinese pangolin)
Lineage: Eukaryota; Metazoa; Chordata; Mammalia; Pholidota; Manidae
Exons: 2
Source: RefSeq, a predicted model, not a curated record
UUUUUGAAAGGGCGUAUCUCAUAUUUGUUGCUCAAAUGGUUGUUAACAACAAUAAAAUUCUGUAUAGGGGACUCAAUGCUCAAUGCACAAUCAUUAAUCCACCUCAAGCCUAAUUCUCAUCAGUCUCCAAUCUUCUGAAGCAUAACGAACAAGUUCUUACAUGGUGAACAAAUUCUUACAUAGUGAAUAAAAACUUUCGGUUUUGAUCAUGCAUUAUGAACUAUAAACAAUCAGGUCAAAUAUGAAUAUUCGUUUGAUUUUUAUACUUGAUUUAUAUGUGGAUCCCACAUUUCUCCCUUUAUUAUUAUUAUUAUUUUU